UACGUAGGGUGCAAGCGUUGUCCGGAAUUAUUGGGCGUAAAGGGUGCGUAGACGGCAUGAUAAGUUAUUGGCGGGAAAUCGAGGCUCAACCUCGUGGAAACUGAUAAUACUGUUUUGCUUGAGUACAGGAGAGGUUAACGGAACUCCAUGUGGAGCGGUAAAAUGUGUAGAUAUAUGGAAGAACAUCAAUAACGGCGAAGGCAGUUAACUAUUCUGUUACUGACGUUGAGGCACGAAAGCGUGGGGAGCAAAACGG
Molecule: ribosomal RNA, 256 nt
Filed under: uncultured bacterium
Lineage: Bacteria
Description: partial 16S ribosomal RNA
Rfam family: Bacterial small subunit ribosomal RNA
Source: RNAcentral